CCCCUGUGGACAUUGUCAAGGAAAGAGUAGAGUCACAUCACCUAGCUACUGGGUUCAGUGAUAUGUCAUAAUCCCUUCUGUGGGCUGGGCCCACAUAAGGAGAGUCAAAUCACUUGGGUGCUGGGAAGAGGCACAUGUCACACGUGCAAGAAGGUCCAAGGAUGAGAUUAAAAAUUCCACAAAGGUCCAAAUUCUAGAAUCACAGUCUCACAGGUGUGCUAGAUUUUGAUCUGAGAGACAGCAGUCAACCUGUGGACCAGAUCCACUCAUGAGAGUCAAUUUUCCAACUUUUGACUGUCUCCAGGGCCCAGACAGAAGAGAAGAGUCACAUCAUCUAGAUGAUGAAUGAAAAGAUAUGUCAUUAUUCUCCUUUGGGCAGUGCUUCUGCAGAAAAGUUGCACCUUCUAGGUGUUGGACUCAGCAAUAUAUCACAAUGUCUGCAGUAUUUUGGAAGGAGAGGAGAGUCACCAUUACUUAGGUGCUAGGCCCAGCAAUACAUCUCAAGCACUUCUUGGGCAAAGCCCAAGCAGUAAAAAAGAGUCACAUUACCUAGGUUCUGGGUAUAGCAAUAUGUCACAAAUGCCCCUAAGAAGAGGGCCCAGGAAAAGAGAGUCACCUUGGUAUGGCCCAGGCAGGAGAGAAGGGUCAUAUCACCUAAGCUCUGGAUUCGCAGAUAGGCCCCAAUCUCUUUUUUGGGCAAUGCUCGGUCUAUCUUCAAUUUACAGACCUUGGCUUUUCUACCCCAAUUCAAGAAGUCACUUCUUCAGUCAACCAAACCAAUUACAAAAUUGUGUUCCAAUGUCACAUGUUCAAAAAUAAACAGUUCCUGAAAAGAUGUAAGCUUUAAAUGGAAUUAGUCAGCAUUUUCAAUUUUGGUUAGUGCCUUUAAAGCUAGUUUAUCUCUGUUUCUAUAUUAAUCGGAAUGAAAAGAAACAUUUUUGACUUGGCAUUGAAUGACAGUUGUGAUUUUAGUAAAUUUCUUGCUCACACAUAGGAGCAACA
Molecule: long non-coding RNA, 1002 nt
Filed under: Homo sapiens (human)
Lineage: Eukaryota; Metazoa; Chordata; Mammalia; Primates; Hominidae
Description: HSALNT0396825
Source: RNAcentral